This 253-nucleotide ribosomal RNA is filed under the name uncultured bacterium. RNAcentral describes it as "partial 16S ribosomal RNA". It matches the Rfam family "Bacterial small subunit ribosomal RNA", at positions 524 to 776 of the family's 1533-position model. The record is from RNAcentral.
CACGUAGGGGGCAAGCGUUGUCCGGAAUCAUUGGGCGUAAAGCGCGCGUAGGCGGCCAGAUAAGUCCGGUGUGAAAGUCAAAGGCUCAACCUUUGAAUGCCGCUGGAAACUAUCUGGCUAGAGUCCGGAAGGGGCGAGUGGAACUCCUGGUGUAGCGGUGAAAUGCGCAGAUAUCAGGAGGAACACCGAUGGCGAAGGCAGGUCUGUGGGCCACUACUGACGCUGAGAAGCGAAAGCGUGGGGAGCGAACAGG